CCAGACUCCUACGGGAGGCAGCAGUGAGGAAUAUUGGUCAAUGGCCGGAAGGCUGAACCAGCCAAGCCGCGUGAAGGACGAAGGUGCCAAGCAUUGUAAACUUCUUUUGUCAAGGGACAAAAUCAGGCUCGAGAGCCUGACCGAGGGUACUUGAAGAAAAAGCAUCGGCUAACUCCGUGCCAGCAGCCGCGGUAAUACGGAGGAUGCGAGCGUUAUCCGGAUUUAUUGGGUUUAAAGGGUGCGCAGGCGGCCUGUUAAGUCAGCGGAAAAAGCCGGGGGCUCAACCCCGGCGAGCCGUUGAAACUGGCGGGCUGGAGUUGGAGAGAAGUACGCGGAAUGCGCGGUGUAGCGGUGAAAUGCUUAGAUAUCGCGCAGAACCCCGAUUGCGAAGGCAGCGUACCGGCUCCACACUGACGCUGAGGCACGAAAGCGUGGGUAUCGAACAGGAUUAGAUACCCGGGUA
This 463-nucleotide ribosomal RNA is filed under the name uncultured bacterium. Its description in RNAcentral is "bacterial SSU rRNA". It matches the Rfam family "Bacterial small subunit ribosomal RNA", at positions 331 to 792 of the family's 1533-position model. The record is from RNAcentral.